RNAcentral lists this ribosomal RNA (596 nucleotides) under Brevibacillus sp. PCSM47. RNAcentral's name for it is "bacterial SSU rRNA". It matches the Rfam family "Bacterial small subunit ribosomal RNA", at positions 162 to 744 of the family's 1533-position model. Lineage: Bacteria; Bacillati; Bacillota; Bacilli; Caryophanales; Paenibacillaceae. The record is from RNAcentral.
GCUAAUACCGGAUAGGGUUUUGGAUCGCAUGAUCCGAAACGGAAAGAUGGCGCAAGCUAUUACUUACAGAUGGGCCUGCGGCGCAUUAGCUAGUUGGUGGGGUAACGGCCUACCAAGGCGACGAUGCGUAGCCGACCUGAGAGGGUGACCGGCCACACUGGGACUGAGACACGGCCCAGACUCCUACGGGAGGCAGCAGUAGGGAAUUUUCCACAAUGGACGAAAGUCUGAUGGAGCAACGCCGCGUGAACGAUGAAGGCUCUCGGGUCGUAAAGUUCUGUUGUUAGGGACGAACAAGUGCCGUUCGAACAGGGCGGCACCUUGACGGUACCUAACGAGAAAGCCACGGCUAACUACGUGCCAGCAGCCGCGGUAAUACGUAGGUGGCAAGCGUUGUCCGGAAUUAUUGGGCGUAAAGCGCGCGCAGGCGGUUAUGUAAGUCUGAUGUUAAAGCCCGGGGCUCAACCUCGGUCCGCAUUGGAAACUGCGUAACUUGAGUGCAGAAGAGGAAAGUGGUAUUCCACGNGUNNCGGUGAAAUGCGUAGAGAUGUGGAGGAACACCAGUGGCGAAGNNNNNNUUCNGGUCUGUAACUNAC